UGGGGAAUCUUGCGCAAUGGGCGAAAGCCUGACGCAGCAACGCCGCGUGAGCGAAGACGGCCUUCGGGUUGUAAAGCUCUGUCAGGAGGGACGAAGCCACUCGGGUGAACAGCCCAGAGGGUGACGGUACCUCCAGAGGAAGCCCCGGCUAACUACGUGCCAGCAGCCGCGGUAAUACGUAGGGGGCGAGCGUUGUCCGGAAUCAUUGGGCGUAAAGCGCGUGUAGGCGGCCGACCAAGUCCGAUGUGAAAGCUCGGGGCUCAACCCCGAGUCUGCAUUGGAAACUGAUCGGCUAGAGUCCGGAAGAGGAGACUGGAAUUCCUGGUGUAGCGGUGAAAUGCGCAGAUAUCAGGAAGAACACCGGUGGCGAAGGCGGGUCUCUGGGACGGUACUGACGCUGAGACGCGAAAGCGUGGGGAGCAAACAGG
RNAcentral lists this ribosomal RNA (428 nucleotides) under uncultured Actinomycetes bacterium. RNAcentral describes it as "bacterial SSU rRNA". It matches the Rfam family "Bacterial small subunit ribosomal RNA", at positions 355 to 776 of the family's 1533-position model. Lineage: Bacteria; Bacillati; Actinomycetota; Actinomycetes. The record is from RNAcentral.